AGCGAACGCUGGCGGCAGGCUUAACACAUGCAAGUCGAGCGGGCACUUCGGUGUCAGCGGCAGACGGGUGAGUAACACGUGGGAACGUACCCUUCGGUUCGGAAUAACGCUGGGAAACUAGCGCUAAUACCGGAUACGCCCUUUUGGGGAAAGGUUUACUGCCGAAGGAUCGGCCCGCGUCUGAUUAGCUAGUUGGUGGGGUAAUGGCCUACCAAGGCGACGAUCAGUAGCUGGUCUGAGAGGAUGAUCAGCCACACUGGGACUGAGACACGGCCCAGACUCCUACGGGAGGCAGCAGUGGGGAAUAUUGGACAAUGGGCGAAAGCCUGAGCCAGCCAUGCCGCGUGAGUGAUGAAGGCCUGAGGGUUGUAAAGCUCUUUUGUCCGGGACGAUAAUGACGGUACCGGAAGAAUAAGCCCCGGCUAACUUCG
RNAcentral lists this ribosomal RNA (431 nucleotides) under uncultured bacterium. RNAcentral describes it as "partial 16S ribosomal RNA". It matches the Rfam family "Bacterial small subunit ribosomal RNA", at positions 29 to 505 of the family's 1533-position model. The record is from RNAcentral.